AGGACGAACGCUGGCGGCGUGCUUAACACAUGCAAGUCGAGCGGAAAGGCCCUUCGGGGUACUCGAGCGGCGAACGGGUGAGUAACACGUGAGCAAUCUGCCCUUAGCUUCGGGAUAGCCCCGGGAAACCGGGAUUAAUACCGAAUACGACCUCGGCCGACAUCGGCUUUGGUGGAAAGUUUUUCGGCUAGGGAUGAACUCGCGGCCUAUCAGCUUGUUGGUGGGGUAAUGGCCUACCAAGGCGACGACGGGUAGCCGGCCUGAGAGGGCGACCGGCCACACUGGGACUGAGACACGGCCCAGACUCCUACGGGAGGCAGCAGUGGGGAAUAUUGCGCAAUGGGCGAAAGCCUGACGCAGCGACGCCGCGUGGGGGAUGAAGGCCUUCGGUUGUAAACCCCUUUCAGCAGGACGAAGCGAGAGUGACGGUACCUGCAGAAGAAGCGCCGGCUAACUCCGUGCCAGCAGCCGC
RNAcentral lists this ribosomal RNA (472 nucleotides) under uncultured bacterium. RNAcentral's name for it is "SSU rRNA". It matches the Rfam family "Bacterial small subunit ribosomal RNA", at positions 26 to 518 of the family's 1533-position model. The record is from RNAcentral.